Molecule: non-coding RNA, 73 nt
Organism: Schistocerca gregaria
Lineage: Eukaryota; Metazoa; Arthropoda; Insecta; Orthoptera; Acrididae
Source: the annotation of a RefSeq genome assembly
UCCCCAUUGGUGUAGGUGGUUAUCACGAGAGCCUUUCACGUUCUAAACCCGGGUUCGAGUCCCGGAUGGGGAG